This 29-nucleotide transfer RNA is filed under the name Macaca fascicularis (crab-eating macaque). RNAcentral describes it as "piRNA piR-mfa-252085". The record is from RNAcentral. Lineage: Eukaryota; Metazoa; Chordata; Mammalia; Primates; Cercopithecidae.
CUAUAGAGGCCUACCACUUCUUAUUUACC